Molecule: transfer RNA, 72 nt
Filed under: Urocitellus parryii (Arctic ground squirrel)
Lineage: Eukaryota; Metazoa; Chordata; Mammalia; Rodentia; Sciuridae
Also listed under: 1 other name
Description: Spermophilus parryii (Arctic ground squirrel) tRNA
Rfam family: tRNA
About the family: Transfer RNA (tRNA) molecules are approximately 80 nucleotides in length. Their secondary structure includes four short double-helical elements and three loops (D, anti-codon, and T loops). Further hydrogen bonds mediate the characteristic L-shaped molecular structure. tRNAs have two regions of fundamental functional importance: the anti-codon, which is responsible for specific mRNA codon recognition, and the 3' end, to which the tRNAs corresponding amino acid is attached (by aminoacyl-tRNA synthetases). tRNAs cope with the degeneracy of the genetic code in two manners: having more than one tRNA (with a specific anti-codon) for a particular amino acid; and 'wobble' base-pairing, i.e. permitting non-standard base-pairing at the 3rd anti-codon position.
Source: Rfam by way of RNAcentral
GGGGCUGGGGCUCAGUGGUGGAGCACUUGCCUUGCACGUGUGAGGCCCUGGGUUCAAUCCUCAGCAUCACCU